AACGCAUCUUGCACUAUUCGGCUUCCCCGGAUAGUAUGCCUGGUUGAGUGUCUGUGUAUCUCUCCUAAUCUAAUAUUUUUUUUUGGGGUAUUAGAAUAGGGACUUGGGGUCCUAACUCGUCGGAAACACCCUUUGCUGGUGUGUACCCGGUGAACCCUUUAAAUAUAGUAAGCUCCCAUCUGUUUCCAUUGGAAAUACGCAAACUUGGGGAUGGCGUCGUAGCAAUCUUCGUAUUGUCGAAACGCCUAUCACUCCUCUAAUCUGCGGUGCUAAUCCAUGUGGGUGGGCGAAGCUUGGCGACUGGCAAAGUGCCAUGCUCUAAACUUAUAUUCUCUCAGAGCACACGAACAAUAAUGACCUCAACUCAGGUAGGACGACCCGCUGGACUUAA
RNAcentral lists this unclassified non-coding RNA (391 nucleotides) under uncultured fungus. Its description in RNAcentral is "partial contains 5.8S ribosomal RNA, internal transcribed spacer 2, and large subunit ribosomal RNA". Lineage: Eukaryota; Fungi. The record is from RNAcentral.